Molecule: ribosomal RNA, 406 nt
Filed under: uncultured bacterium
Lineage: Bacteria
Description: partial 16S ribosomal RNA
Rfam family: Bacterial small subunit ribosomal RNA
Source: RNAcentral
AUUGAACGCUGGCGGCAGGCUUAACACAUGCAAGUCGAGCGAGCGGCGGACGGGUGAGUAAUGUCUGGGAAACUGCCUGAUGGAGGGGGAUAACUACUGGACACGGUAGCUAAUACCGAAUACAAUCAGAUGUGCCCAGAUGGUAUUAGCUAGUAGGGGGGGUAAUGGCUCACCUAGGCGACGACCCCUAGCUGGUUUGCGGGGAUGACCAGCAAGACUGGAACGGAGACACGGUCCAGACGCCUACGGGAGGCAGCAGUGGGGAAUAUUGCACUAUGGGCGCAAGCCUGAUGCAGCCAGGCCGCGUGUGUGAAGAAGGCCUUCGGGUUGUAAAGCACUUUCAGCGAGGAGGCGUUACUCGCAGAAGAAGCACCGGCUAACGCCGUGCCAGCAGCCGCGGUAAUUC